UAAGGUGGUUAUAGCAACGAGGCUCACCUCUUCCCAUUCCGAACAGAGAAGUUAAGCUCGUUAGCGCAGAUGGUACUGCUAUUUUGUGGGAGAGUAUGUCGCCGCCUUUU
This 110-nucleotide ribosomal RNA is filed under the name Mesonia sp. HuA40. The record is from RNAcentral. Lineage: Bacteria; Pseudomonadati; Bacteroidota; Flavobacteriia; Flavobacteriales; Flavobacteriaceae.